GCAUGACACCAAGCAGCAAGUGUAAUUGAAGGGAAAUGCUCUAUCCAUAUACUGAGAGGACUAGUCAAGAGAUCAGGCCUCAAAACAGGAAAAUGGUUCCAAUGGAGAAGUAGAGUAUGAGUCAAGAAUUGAGAGAUGAGCAAUAUACAUUAGCAUUAGAAAACACUAAAGAAAGUAUACGUGCCUAGAGCCUCUUAGGCACACUACAAAGAAGAUGACCUGAAAAGUGACUGCUGACAGGCUCCACAUAUAGGUGAUAUGAAAGUUCCCUCAGCCUUGUUAGUAUGAGUGAGCCUAUAAAGUGAAGAUAAAUGAGAAAGGGAUUAGAUGAGUCAUCUGAGUGUGUAAGGCCCUUGCAACAAGAGCAUGAAGAUGAUAAAAGAGGACAGAAAGGGAACAAGUUGGGUGAAAAGAAAACAAUGAAUUAGGGUGAAAAGAAAACAAUGAAUUAGGGUGAAAAGAUCAAGCCAGUGGCCAAACUCUCUACAACUAGAAAAGACUUAUCAGUUUCUCAUGUAGUGGCUAUAUGCAUACUGGCUUUGUAAUCGUUGCUUAAGCCGUAUUUGUGUUGUGCAUUUUUUAUUAACUCUUAUGCAUUGCCAGGACCCUGAAGGUGUCAUACUCUUCCUGACAGGACCUACCAGCUUGACGGAGAGCUCUAUCCCCAUUUCCUAAAGAAGAAACCUAAUCCUUGGAAAUGUUCAGUGGCUGCCCCAAGAUGUCGGCACAACCUCUUGUGCUCUUGCGUCCUGCCACAAGAACAUAUGUCCCAGAAAAGGGCCACUCCAUCAGCCUAGGUCCAGAAAUGAGAGGACACAUGGACUGAACUUGAAGAUGGCCCACAGCAGACCUGCAGUCAACUCUCAGCCUUUAUGUAAUGUGGGAAAGAAGGAAAUGUGAAUAUUAUAGACUACUAAAAUUCUAAAGUUGUAACAUAGCAAAAUGAUCAAUACAAUUAGCAGUGGCUAUCAGUCUAGCAUAUUGUCAUGCUAUAUGCAUGCUAUAAAAUUAUUGAACAAAAAUAUCACUACCCCAUCAUGGACAAAUUGGACUUCUCUUUUCUCCUUAUGACUGCAUCAUGUGUGAUGAUCAGAAAUGGAGUGAAGAGAGAAAAAUAAGAAAAUUCAAGAAUGUGCUACAGAGUGAUCCUCUCCCUCUUAGGGCACCCACAGAAACCACUCAUGGCUUCUCUGUCUGCAUCCUCUCCACACAAACAUAUUCUUUAAGGUACCAGCCCCAUAUCACAUACCUGCAUGUCAGCCCAUAACAGGCCUUAACUUAGAAGCCGAAGAUCCAUAACUACACAAGUAUUCAUGUUGUAUAAUGUGGAGCAGCACCAAGAAAUAAAGUGGCAGACAAUACUGCCUAUGACUAAAGUGACCCCUUGAUCCCCUCCCAAAGCAGUCUCCAUAUCAUAACUAUCAAUUGUAAAAAUAGUAUAUAUUUUAUAUAUUCUCCCUAAUAGGUAACUCUAUAUUUUAAAAUCUUAAGCUCCUAGUUUUAAUCCACUUCGUCCCAUCAGAGUACUUUUUUCUCAACUUUCUCAUUUACAAGGCCAUUUUUAUUUUUGCCUCACUCUGUGCUGAUGGUCCCAGAUCUACUCAUUCAGUUUCUUCUCUUCUAUAAUGUCUAUUUUCAGACACCUAGGAGAUUGACAACUGCUAGAAAUACCACUCACUCAACUGCUCCUUUCCUCUUCUUUCAUACUUGGGCAUAAACUUUACUGUAUCUUAAACACAUCUUCCUAAAUGCCUCACGACUAUGAUAAACUUGACAUGCUUACAACUG
RNAcentral lists this long non-coding RNA (1788 nucleotides) under Pongo abelii (Sumatran orangutan). Its description in RNAcentral is "lincRNA". Lineage: Eukaryota; Metazoa; Chordata; Mammalia; Primates; Hominidae. The record is from RNAcentral.